GGGGAUUUAGCUCAGUGGUAGAGCGCUUGCCUAGCAAGAGCAAGGCCCUGGUUUCAGUCCCCA
Molecule: transfer RNA, 63 nt
Filed under: Rattus norvegicus (Norway rat)
Lineage: Eukaryota; Metazoa; Chordata; Mammalia; Rodentia; Muridae
Rfam family: tRNA
About the family: Transfer RNA (tRNA) molecules are approximately 80 nucleotides in length.
Source: Rfam by way of RNAcentral